RNAcentral lists this unclassified non-coding RNA (3097 nucleotides) under Rhopalosiphum maidis (corn leaf aphid). RNAcentral describes it as "n-alpha-acetyltransferase 15, NatA auxiliary subunit, transcript variant X1". The record is from RNAcentral. Lineage: Eukaryota; Metazoa; Arthropoda; Insecta; Hemiptera; Aphididae.
AUGCCAUCGGGUCAACCCUUACCGCCCAAAGAAAAUUCCUUAUUCAAACGAAUUUUAAGAUGCUACGAACAGAAACAAUAUAAAAAUGGACUUAAAUUUGCAAAACAGAUUCUGUCACAUCCAAAGUUCUCUGAACAUGGAGAAACUUUGGCUAUGAAAGGACUUACUUUAAAUUUUCUUGGUCGAAAAGAUGAAGCAUAUGAGCAUGUACGACGGGGUCUCCGUAAUGAUCUUACUUCACAUGUUUGCUGGCAUGUUUAUGGUUUAUUGCAAAGAUCAGAUAAGAAGUAUGAUGAAGCCAUUAAAUGUUAUAGAAAUGCAUUGAAAUGGGAAAAAGACAAUAUUCAAAUUUUACGAGAUUUAUCACUGCUACAAAUUCAAAUGAGAGAUUUGGAAGGAUAUCGAGACACAAGAUAUCAAUUGUUUAUGUUGCGGCCAACUCAAAGAGCAUCAUGGAUAGGGUAUGCAAUGGCAUAUCAUCUAUUAAACGAUCAUGAUAUGGCCUUGAAAAUUUUGGAAACAUUUAGGAAAACUCAAAUGGUUUCUGCUCCAUUUGAUUUCGAGUAUAGCGAACUUCUUUUGUAUCAAAAUAUGGUUAUUCAAGAAUCUGGUGGAGUGUUAGAUGCCAUCAAACAUUUAGAUAUGUACAAAGAAAAUAUUUUUGAUAAAUUAACAGUCCUAGAGAUUUAUGGUUCAUUAUACUUAAAAAUUGGAGAAUAUCAUUUAGCUACAUUGUGUUAUGAAAAAUUACUAAGAAGAAACCAAGAAAACACACCUUACUAUUUAAUGAUUAAAGAAGCUAAGCAAUUGCAUAAUGAUGAAUGUGUUUAUAAUAUGCUAUGUGGUUAUCGGAAGAAGUUUCCUAAAGCAUUGGCUCCUAAACGAUUAUGUUUAACUUUUGCAUCAGGAAAUGCAUUCCAAACUGAAGUCGAUUCUUACUUAAGAGCUGGUUUCCAUAAAGGUGUUCCGCCAUUGUUUGUAGAUUUACGGUCAUUAUAUAAAAAUAAAAAUAAAGUACAAAUAAUUGAAAGUCUAUUAGAAUCGUAUGUAAAUAAUUUGACAAAGUUCAAUUCAUUUGAUAGUGAUGAUUCAUCAUGUAAAGAACCUGCUUCUGCAUUACUGUGGGUCUAUCACUAUUUAGCUCAACACUUUGAUUACCUUAAUGAUAUUCAGAAAGCAUUAACUUACAUUGAUAUGGCAAUUGCACACACACCGACUUUAAUUGAACUAUUUGUUACAAAAGGAAGAAUAUUUAAACACGCUGGGGAUGCUUAUGAGGCAUAUAAAUGGCUAGAUGAAGCACAAGGAUUGGACACAGCUGAUAGAUAUAUUAAUUCAAAAUGUGCAAAAUACAUGUUGCGUGCUAAUCUUAUAAAAGAAGCAGAAGAAACAUGCUCCAAGUUCACAAGGGAAGGUGUUUCACCUAUGGAAAACUUGAAUGAGAUGCAAUGUAUGUGGUUCCAAACAGAGUGUGCAUUAGCUUAUCAACGACUUGGAAAAUGGGGCGAAAGUUUGAAAAAAUGCCAUGAAGUUGAUAGGCAUUUUACUGAGAUUAUUGAUGACCAAUUUGAUUUUCAUACAUACUGUAUGCGUAAAAUGACUUUGAGGUCAUAUGUGAAUUUAUUAAGGCUUGAAGACAUAUUACGUUCUCAUCCAUUUUACUUCAGAGUGGCACGAUGUGCAAUCCAAGUAUACUUACAUCUUCAUGAUAAACCUCCGACUGAUGCAUCAUCUAAUAAUGAAUUAGAUACAGGAAACUUGGCUCCAGGACAAUUGAAAAAAAUGUUGAAUAAGCAAAGAAAAGCACAACGAAAAGCUCAAGAAGAAAAAGCUCAAGCUUUAGCUGCUCAAGAAAAACGAGAUAUGCAUAAAAAUCGACAACAGGUGACUAAUACAAGUGACGAGGCUGAUGCAAUGCCAUUGGAUGAACUACUUCCAGAAAAGUUGGAAAGAGUGGAAGAUCCUUUGGAACAAUCAAUAAAGUUCUUGAAACCCCUUCAAGAACUCGCAUCAGAUAAUAUUGAAACUCAUUUAAUGGCAUUUGAAAUUUAUUACAGAAAGGAUAAACUUUUGUUGAUGUUGCAAAGUAUCAAAAGAACUCAUCGUAUUUGUCCAGACCAUCCAAUGUUUCACAGUUGCUUAAUAAGAUUUAUGGAGAAACUAUUGAAACUUGACAACAUUCAAGAAGAAAUGCAAUUGGUGCUUAAUAAACAAUUAGAACCGAUAUUGGGUGGAAUGUCAGCUGCUGAAAUCAAUUUGCAGUUCCUCAAUAAACACCAUAAAUCAUUGCCAUCAUUAGUUCAGGGUUUGAAAAUGAAAUAUAAACUUGAUAAUAGUUCACAACAAGAAGUUCUUGACCAAAUUACUAAGCUAGACGAUUCCUUGGAGAAUGUCAAUAUUCAAACUUGUACUGAUAUUUUAAAUUCAUUAAUCAAUGGUGAAUUUGGCGAAGUUGGUGAUGCUGCGGAAGAAUAUCGUAAAACAUGUUAUAAACGUUUCCCAUUGGCUACUGCUUUCCAUACGGAUCAAGAUCGUUCCCCAAUGGCAUUCUGGUCCAACUCUUACAAAACGUUAAAUGAAACGCAUGAAAAUUGUGUCAGUAACUGAUUGAAGCUUGGACGUUAGAUCAAAAAUGUAUUUUUUAAUUUUGUUAAAAAGUUUUUUUUCUUAUUAUUUUUCUGUAGGAAAAACAACAUUUGUUUUUGCCUUGAGUAACCUGUAAAUAGUUGAUAAUAUAUUAUAAUUUCUUUUCUCAAAUCUAACACUUCACUAAUCGACAUACAGAUUACAGUUUUGACUGAAUAUUUAUAAUUUGUGUUUAUAGUUUAAAUUGCUUAAUGGAAAAAAAAAAUACUAUUUAACUCCAAACAACCCAAAAUGUUUUCUGUGAUACACCCUGAAAUUUAUGCUAAUUAUUGAUUAUUUAACUACUUUACAGGUUUAUAAAAUAUGAACUUGUAGAAGAAACAAAAAAUGUGGCUCAUUUACUAACCAAAGGUUGAUCUCCAAAUAUUUAAAUUUAAAGACACAUAUUUAUAUUGUUAACAGUAAGUAUAUUAUUGUUUACUGUUAAAUUGACAUUGAGUAAAUACUUAAA